This 537-nucleotide long non-coding RNA is filed under the name Homo sapiens (human). RNAcentral describes it as "non-protein coding lnc-DYDC1-10:1". Lineage: Eukaryota; Metazoa; Chordata; Mammalia; Primates; Hominidae. The record is from RNAcentral.
UUUGCAGGCAUUCAGCUCACGGGGACCUUCCAUACUUGCAAAUAACUGACAGUCAUUAGAGUUAGGUGAAGCUGUAGAAAGACUAAGUAAGGCACUGUACUGUCAAGCACCACUGAUGCACAACUCAUCCACAUCUUACAGGCUCCAGUUCUCCUUGGAGAGCACAUCCUGAAUACCAUGGUGGUAUAAAUAAAGAGAAAGUCAUCUUUUUCAACAGUCUCUGCUGUCUGACUGCACAUGAUUAAGUUGGAGUCUUACAUACUUGGCCAGGAUGCCAUAGUUACAAUACUUACACCAGGGAAAGGCAGAGCAAGCAAGCCAGAAUCAUGAUGGCCCCAUGGGCCCACUAAGCCCCAGGCUUCAGGCUGCAGAUGUUAUGUUAUAUAAGACCACAAACAUGGCUUUGAUAGGGGGAGGGUGAGUCCAGCCCAAGGAACCAGUACAGGAUCUCACACAAGGUUUCAAAAAGAAGUUUGAAGAAAUCCCUUCCAGUCCCCAGUUUAACUUCAUGAAGUAGGUAAGAUCCCUCAUAAUCCC